AGCACACCCUGGAGUUAUGCAACUUGGAGGGGCAGAGCCCAAUAUUUGUGGAAAGGAGGCUAAGGGCCAUAUUCUCUCUCUGCCUUCCUCUUGAUCUGCUGACCUCUCUAAAAUCCUUUCCAAGACUUCUAAUUCUAAACCUUCCCAUAUUUCUAAACCUUCCCUGUGUUAGAAUGGGGAAGCUGGCAUGAAGCGCUGGGCUGAUUUUGUUUGUUUGUAGUUUCUGUUCAAACUUGGACAUCUUAUUUCCAAGAGAUGUGAGAAAUGCACUGGAUAAGCUGUCCACAGCAGUUUCUCCUAAGGGUUCCUGCCAAAAACUGCAUGGGAUUUCAGGGUCUGGUUUGCUUCGCCUCCUUCAGGUAAGCUUGUUUAUAAAAAGGAAACAUUUGUGCAGCUCAGCAGAUUUGAGAGACCCAGUGGGAAUGGCUGUUUAUUUGUCUUUUAAUCACAAAGCCUGGGGUUUGGCUCCAAGGCUGAAGGUCUUGAGGCCUCUUUAUCUCCUCCCCCUGAGACUUUAAUCUCUCUUCUGACAUUCCUUUGGCUCACAGGGUGCCUUGGGAAUUGGGGAAAGAGGAGGUUGCAGGUGGACAAAGAUUUCUGGGCCUCAUCAGAGUUUCUGUCCUUAGUGUGACCUCCCACCAGGGACUAUGGUUCCUUUUGAGAUCAGUUCCAGAGCCUAACCUCUCCCUCCUCUUUGUCCUACAAACAACCAAAAGGAAGAGAAAACAAAGCCACCCACCCUCCCCAAACCCCAGGAAACGUUUAUUUUGAGGAGUGAAUCUCUUGUGUUUGAAGCCACAUCUUAUCACUCGCCUUUUAUGGAAUCUGAGAGAUGAAGUGAGGUGAAGGGUCACGGCGUGCAAUUCACUCAUUUUAUAGAUGAGGACACAGCAAUCCUGCAAUCCACAGGGGUGCUGGUGUCUGUCCGAAACACACAGCUUCUCUGUAAAGGUUGCUGGACGGGUCCCCUGUUGUGUGACCCCCUCAGGCGAUUUUCAGGGCACCCCAUGACUGUGUGCAAUGUGAGCUGUCUAUGGCCAGCCCUAAACCUCAGCGAGCAGAGACUAUUUUCUUUGAAUCAGCAUGCACCACACCACGCCGUGCUCCCCACAGGGGCACAUAUUGAGAAAAUGAAAUUCAAAUCACCCCUCUGGUACGCUUUGUGCUCCCUUUCCUGAUUACACACACAGAGAAGCCUAUUCUGCAGGUGACCAGGUGGGCGUGUAUAGGGCCAGGCAGCGAAGCCUGCAAGAAGGACACCCGGGUUCUUUCCUGUCUCCAGCUGCUUCUGACAGGAACCCCAGAGCCCAGCCUGGGGCUGAGAACAAGUUGGGCCUCCAUGAGGGACUUUGAUCCUUGACUGGUCUCUUGCUUCCCUAAGAAGUUGAACAACCUUUUAGGGUAUAUGGCUGCACCCAUGUUCCACCCCCUCCCUUGGCCCUAGGCCAAAUGAACACCUGGGUGUUGGGUGACCUCAAGAGAUUGUGAAUCCACUUUGAGCCUUAUUCCUCGAGUCAUUCCGCUUCCCAGCAGAUUGUGUGAAGUCUCUCUUUAAAAAAAUAAAUAAAAAGUCUGAGCUCAGUGAAGUGAUUUUACUCAUGCAGAAAACUAUAAAGGUAAAAGAUGAAACUCUGAGAGCAAACCUUUGUGCUCUCCGGGUCUCCUGGAAAAAGAGGGCAGGCAGGGCUUGUACACACGAGGCAGGAGCUGCUUGUGCAGAAAUGGAAAUGCUCCCCCGUCUUUCCUUCCACACUAAGUUGCUUCAUUAUAUUUUCAGGCGAGCGAGUCAUGGGGUCCUGGUGUGCGGUGCUGUCUUUUUCAAUUAAUGCUUUUCACAGAAGUUCAGGUUUUAAACAUCUCCCCCUCUCUUCCCAGGUCUGUUACAUUUCCCAGAAUGGUUCCCAGCGCUGGAGAUAAUUCCUUUUCGGAGAACCUACAUUUCUCACCUGCUGAUUGCAAUUAGCCACUGCCAGCUGGGGCCUGGUGCGCAGCUGAAAAGCUAACAAGAAGUGGAGACCACGCGGAACCCAGACAGGGCAUAGGAGGUGCAUGAAUAAGGAAUGGUGCCCAUGUUUAUGAGAUGCUCCUGUGAAUUUGAGGCUUCCCAACCCUUUGCAAAGCCCUCCCUCUUCCAGCCCUAUGCCACCCCCACCUCCCUAUUUUUUUUUUUUUUUUUUUUUUUUGGUCUCUGGGUUUGUAGCCUACACUUAACAUCACAGUCACGAAUUUACCACUAAGUACAUUUUGUUAGGCAAUAAACAGCCUUGGAAGAAAAAUGAAAUGCAACUAGGACUUCUGUUCCAAUAAUAUUUGGGAGCUGUGGUGGAUUCAAGCAGGUCUCACAUGUGAGUCUUAGAACUAACAUUCACCAUGAGGGCUGACAGGGUUUCCAGAAGCCUUGGGAACCCUUAAUCUGACUCCCUCCUUUUGCGGAUGAAGACAAUGAAUCCUAGAAGGGGAACAUGGCUCAUCCAAAGUCUUAGAGGAAGUUGUAGGACUCGGUGAUGUCCAUGUCACCUGAUGUCCAGCUCUGGGCUCUAACUACUGAACAGGCUUGCUUUUGACCAUCCUGGCCUGUGAGGGAAGCAUCAAGAAGAUUGCCCAGAAUUAGAAGCCAGUGUCUUGGACAAUGUGGCCUCCAACCCAAGGCAACCUUGUUUCUUUCCCCAUGGGUCAAUCCUGGCCCCUGGGACCAAUGAGAAUACCCCCGGGCACUUUUGUCCAGGGUUGAUACCCAGUUUCCGUGGCUCAUAGCUGCUGACUCCAAUCCUGUGACUGCCCCCUAUGGAGGGUAUUCUCCCACUUUGGGGCUAUCUUGGAAUUGGCAACAGAGGGGACUGAUGCCCAGCCAAGGGGCAAUUAGCAGCUGUCCCUGGUCACUUUGCAAUGUAAAUGGAGGAAUAUCAACAUGGUGAGGUCUGGGCUUAGGGUGUGAACAUAUUCGUUUGGUGGGUUUGAGCUUAAACUUUCCAGCCCUUUCUACUCAGAGGGUAGGACAUUCUCUGCCCUACUCACCUUCCACUAGGAGAUCCUGAUUAUAAGAUUUCUGUUCAGGGAGUUGGAUAGGCUUCUAGGCAGUAAUGACAAAACCUGGAUUUUGAACUCCAACCUCAGCUCCAUUUUGUGGUUGGCAUAUCUCUCAGCCUGUUUUCUCAUCCAUAACACAAACACUCAUGAUACAUAUUAGUCCAUUCCCAUUACUAUAACAAAAUACCAGAGACUUGGUACUUUAUAAAGAAAAGAGCUUUAUUUAGCUCAGAGUUCUGGAGCUUCAAGAGCAUAGUGCUGGAUUCUCCUCAACUCUGGUGAAAGCCUCAUGGUGGAUGGAAUCAAAAUGGUGGGAACAUGUGUGGAAUGGGUCUCAUGGCAAGGCAAGAGCAGAGAGGGGCAAGGUUUGCUCUUUCAUAAGAACUUGCUCUUGUGGGACCAGGGUCUCUUGACAACUACAUUGAUCACUUCUGAGGGGAGUAUCCCAAUGAUCUAAUCAUCUUCCACUUGGCCCCACCUCUUCAAGGUUCCACCACUUCCACACCACUACAUUGGUGACCAAGCCCUGAGAACAUGAAAUUUUGGGGGAAAAUACACAUCUAAUCCAUAGCUUAAUGUGUGGCUUAUUGGGCUUUUUGAAAGGGUAAGGGAAAGAGACAUAGUUAAACGUGGGUUUUCUGUAAGUGUUCACUUUCCUUCCUCUAGUACUAACUUUCCAUUUUACUGAUAAAGAAAACCAAGGUCUAGAGAAAUAAAGAUACCCUCCUAAAGCUACUUACUCAUUCAUUACUUUCACUCACCUACUUUGCCUCCUAUGAGGCACUCAGGGAGGAAACCAGAAUGAACUUUACUAAUACAAAGUUCAUUCUGCAAACACAAGUUUGGUAAAUGUUUAACAAUUAGCUCAGAGGUCAGGAGAGGGAAGGUGAGGAGAAAGUUCGGAUUUGUAGUGUUGCUGGUUGUUAUUUUAAGGUAAUCUAUAUGUGUAAUCAUAAAAAAUUAUACAGGGUGAUCCCCUCUCUCCUUGAUCCAGUUUCCUCCAAUGCAAAAUUGCAGAACAAUGUCACAGCCAAUAUAUUGACAUGAUAUAAUACAUCGAUAUUUAUAUUUGCCCAGUUUUAUUUGUACUUGUGUGUGUGUGUUUGGUUCUAAGUAAUUUUAUCACAAUAUAUAGGUUCCCAUGGUCAACACCAGUCAAGGGACAGAACAGUUGAUUACCACAAGCACCACUCUUUUGCCAUCUUCACCUUCCUCCUUGUGUACCUUGCCUUUGAUCUUUAUACCUGACAACCUUUAAUCUGCCAUUUAUGUCUAAAAUUUUGUCAUUUCAAAAUCUCAUAGUAUGUAUAAUUCAUACAGUGUGUAAUCUUUGGAGAUGGGAUUUUUUUCCACUCAACAUGAUUUUAUCAAAUUUCAUCCAAGUUAUGUAUCAAUUGUUCAUUAUUUUUUUAUUGUUGAGUAAUAUUCCAUGGUGUGGCUAUACUGCAAUUUUUUCUACUAUUCACCUGUUGAAGGAAAAUGGUUUGUUUAUACAUUUAGGCUGUUAUGUAUAAUGCUCCUGUGACAAUUCAUACAUAAGAUUUUCUGGUGAAAAAGCAUCUGCUUUUGGGCUGGGGUUGUGGCUCAGUGGUUGAGUGCUUGCCUAGCAUGUGUGAGGCACUGGGUUCGACCCUCAGCACCACAUAAAAAUAAAUAAAUGCAUUGUGUUCAUAUACAACUAAAAAAAACUUUUAAAAAGUGUCUGCUCUUCCCCUAAGAUUGGGAACAAAAUUUAUUCUUACCACAAAAAUCACCAGCGUAAAUUCUAAUCAGUGCUUUAUUCAAGAAAGAGAAAUGAAAGUUUAAGUAUUAGAAAAUAAGAAAGAAAAAUUUCCCUAUUGCAGAGGAUGUGAUUGUGUAUGGAGAAAAUCUUAUUCCCAUCUCUUUGGAAAUUGUGCACUCUGCCCAAGAAGGCAAUGGCUGCAUCCUAUGGUAGACAUAGCUUAGUUUUAUAAGAAAAAAAAAUGCCAAAUUGUUUUCCAGAGUGACUGUACCAUUUGACAUUCUCAUCAUCAGUGUAUGAGACAUCUGGUUUCUCUGCAUCGUCACCAGCAUUUAGUGUUUGUCACUAUUCUUUAUUUUAGCAAUUCUGGUAGAAUCACUUCAUACGUGAUGUAUCAUUGUGGUUUUAGUUUGCAUUUUUCUAAUAGCUAAUGAAGCCAAACAUCUUUUCGUGUGCUUAUUUGUCAUAUGUAGAACCAUUUUGGUGAAGUGUCUCUUUAUGACUUUUGUCCAUUUUUUAACUGAACUCUUUGUUUUUUACUGUUCAGUUUUGAGAGUUCUUUAUAUUCUAAAUACUAGUCUUUUGUGUCAAAUACGUGGUUUGCAGAUAUUUUCUUCCAGUCCAUACAUUACUUUUCAGCCUCAUUAUAGGGUGUUUCACAAAGCAAAAGUUGUUUUGAUGAAGUCUAAUUCAUUAGUUUUUCACUUGUGUUUUGAGUGUCAAGUCGAAUUUUUUUUGCCUGUUUGUAUAUCACAAAUAUUUUCUCCUAUUUUCAAAUGUUUAUAUUAUGGUUUAAUAUUUUACAUUUAAUUAACUUUCUGAUCUUUCUUUCUUUCUUUCUUUCUUUCUUUCUUUCUUUCUUUCUUUCUUUCUUUCUUUCGUGUGUGCUGCUGGGGAUUGAACCCAGAGUCUUACUCAUGCUAGGCAAGUUAUAUACCACUGAGCUACUUGCCCAGUCCUUCAUUUUUUAUUUUGAAUUAAUUUUUCUAGAAAGUGUGACAUUUAGAUCAAGGUUCAUCCUUUCUUUCCCUACCUUUCCCAUCCCUCCCCUCCCCUUCCCUUCCCUUCCAUUAUGUCCCAUUUCCUUCCUUUUUUUCUUCUCUCUUCUCUUUGCCCUAUGGGUAUCCAAUUGUUUCAGAAUUAUUUGUGGAAAAUGCUAUUUUUUUUUUCUCAUGAAAUUAUUUUUGCACCUCAGUUAAAACUUGGACAUAUCUUUCUGGGUUCUCUUUUCCAUUGAUCUGUCUCCAUUUCUCUAUCAAUCUGACGUUCUUUUCUCAUCAUAGAGCAUAUAACAAAACAAGUCUUGUAAGGGAGGCAAUUAAAGAGGAAAUAAUUAAAAACUAGGGAAAACAGAGGUAUGUCAGAAAAUUAAUUAAUAUAUAUAUAUAAAUUAUUUUAAAAAAUAUUUGUUAUGUUAAUAGUGUUUUAAGUCUCUUAAAUGUAAUAAUUCAUUGUGAUUUCUUUAACACCCUAAAUAAGUGUUAGUUUUAGUACUUAUAAUAAUAAGUCUUAAUGUUGGGUAGAUUAAUUCCUCCCAUUUUAUUCAUCUUAAGAUUGAAUUGGCUGUUCUAGGGUUUGUGUUUUUCCAUAUAAAUUUUAAAAUAAUUUUAUCUAUGUCUACCAAAAAUCUUCGUGGGAUUUUGUUUGGAAUUGUAUUAAACCUAUAUAUCAACUUGAGGAAAAUUGAGAUUCUUACUAUGUCAAGACUUCUAAUCAGCUUAUUGAAUUGCCUCUCAACUUACCAAGUCUUUUUAAAUUUCUUUUAUCAGUAUUUUGUACUUUGCAUAUAUAGCAUACCAUAAAUGUUUGAUUAAGCAUAUACUUAUGUAUUUCUUACAGUACACAGAUCCUACAAAUAUCUUGUUCCCUGCAUACUUAAAAUUGUAUUUACAAUCACCUGAUGGUAAAUGGCAUUAUGUUUUUAAUUUUGGCUUCCACAUGUUCACUGUUAGUAUGUAAAAUGUGUUGACCUUAUAUCCUGAAAGACUGCCAAACUCAUUUGUUGGUUCUAGGAUUUUUGUUUUGUAGAUUCAUUGGGAUUUCUGCAAAAAAAAAAAAAUCACAUUUUUCUGCAAAUGGGAAAUAUUUCUUUCUUUUUGAUAUUGAUGUCUUUCUUUUUCUUUUCUUUUGCAUGGACUAGAACUUUCCAUACUCUGAAAUGUGCAGUGAGAAUGAACUAUGUUUCCAACCUUAGGGGGAGAGCAGACUGUCUUUCAUCAGUAGGUUUGAUGACAGCUGUGGAUUUCUUUUAUAUGUUAUUUAUUGCUGUAGUUCUAUUUAUAACCUACUGAGAGCUUUUUAUUUUUUUACCAUAAAGAGUACUUAAUUUUUAAAUGUUUGUUUUUUUAAUUCCACAGAUACAAUCAUAUGAUUUUUCUUUUUUGAUUUGUUGAUAUGAUUGUUAACAUUGAUUGAUUUUUGAAUGUUGUCUUUGCACACCUAGAAUAAAUCCCACUUGAUGAGAGCAUAUCAUUAUUUGUACACAUUGGUGCAUUAAGUAUGGUAAUAUUUAUUGAGGAUGUUUGUUUCUAAACUUGAGUUCAUAUUGGGCUAUAUUUUUAUAUUGGCAUCUUCUACUUUUAGAAUCAAUAUAAUUUUGGCCUUGCCAAAUGAGUUUAAAAGUAUGGCCCCCUCUCCUAUUUUCUGGAGGAGAUUGGGUGAAAUUGGUAUUAACUAUGACUGGUAAAAUUUCCAUCUAUCUGGAAAUUUCUUUUUGGAUAGUUUUAAAUUACAAAUUCAAUUUCUUUAAUGGUUAUGGUAGUAUUGUAAUUGUCUAUUUCAUCUUGAUUGUGGUUUGCUAGUUCAUGCAUUUGGACAAAUUGGUCCAUUUCUUUCAAAUUGUCAAAUUUCUGAACAUAAAGUUGUUCAUUGUAUUUCUUUAUUAUCAUUUUUAAUGGUUGCAGGAGGUAUAAUGAUGCUUAUGUGUCACUUUUGUUGGGGUUUUAUCAAUUUUUUUCCAUGUACCACCUUUUGUUUCAUUGAUUGGGGGGGCAUGUUUUCCUGUUUUCAACUUCACUUAUUUCUGCUCUUAUAUAUUAUUAUUUCAUAUCAUUUAUCUGUUUUGGCUUUACUUCACUGUUAUUUUUCUUGUUUUUUGAAGAAUGAAUGUAGAUUAUUGAUUUGAGACCUUUUCUCCUUUCUAAUAAAAACAUUUUGUGCUAUAAAUUUCCCUUUCAUCAAUGUUUAGCUGCUUCCUACAAGUUUUGAUGUUUUAUUUUCAUUUUAACUAAGUCAUAUGCAUUUAAAAUUUUUUGAAACUUCAUUUUUUUCAUUGAUUGCUUAGAAGUGCAUUGUUUCAUUUCCAAUUGUUGAAGAUUUUCUUAUUGUAUUUCUGUUAUUGAUUUCUACUUUGAUUUCAUUAUCAUUGAGGAAUAUAGUUUGUAUUACUUCAAUGCUUUGAAAUGUUUGGGGAUUAGUUUUAUAAUCAAUCUUGAAGAAUGUCUCAUUGGUAGUUUAAAAGAAUGUGCAUUAUGCUGUUGAUAAGUCUUUAAGAAAUGUCAGUUUGAUCCAGUUGGUUGAUGGCACUGUUCAGUUCUCUGUCUCUUGGCUCAUUUUUUGUCUAGUGGUUCUAUAAAUUACUGAGUAAGGGAUUGAAUUGUCCAACCAUAAUUGUGGAUCUGUCUAUUUUUUUCUUUGAUCUCUAUCAGUUUUUGUGUCAUGCAUUUUGAAGCUCUGUUGAUUGGUAUAUAUGCAUUUAGAAUCAUUAUAUCUUCCUGGGGGAAUCAAUCUUCUUGUAAUAAUGUGAUGAACAUCUUUUACCUAGUAAAAUUAUUUGUUCUGAAGUAUACUUUAUCUAAUAUUAAUAUAAUUUGAUGUAUUUGUAAAAAAUAAUGUUUGCAUGAUAUCAUUUUUUAAUUCUUGUACUUUCAGCAUACCUAUGUCAUUGUGUUUGCAUUGAAUUUAUUUUAGAAAAUAUAGUUGUGUCAUUACAUUUUAUCUACUUUGUCAAUUAUAUUUUUAGUUGGCAUAUUUUGACCACUUCCAUUUAAAAUAAUUAUUAAUCUGAUAGCCUUAAGUCUGCCAUUUGAUUGCUUGCUUUUUUCUGUUUUCUGUUUCUUUGUUUCUCUUUUCUUGCCUUCCUGUGGGUUAUUUGAAUAUAUUUUAGGAUUCCAUCUGAAUUUAGUUAUAUUAUUUUUAGUAUAUAUCUUGAAUAGUUUCCUUACUGGUUGUUCUAGGUGGCACAAUAUGUAUACAUAACUUAUUACGGCCUACUGGAAUCAGUGUUUUACUGGUUUGAAUGAAGAAUUGAAAUUUUAUUUCUUUUUAUGUCCCUUUACCUUCCCCAAUUUAAAAAUAUAAUUGUUUCAAAUAUUUUCUCUACAUUCAUUAAGAACUACACAAAUGUUACAAAAGUUUCGCUUUGACCAUCAAAUGUGAUUGAAAAAACUUGUGGAAAGGACCAAACUCUCUUAUACUUGCUCUUAUUUUUACCUAUGGCAUUAUUUCUUCUUCUUUCUGAAGUUUUAAUCCUUCUGUUAUAGUUUCCUUUCUGUUCAGAGAGCUUCCUUUAACUAUUCUUUAAGUAUAAGUUUCCUAGGAAUAUGUUCUCUUACUUUUCCUUUUUAUGAGAAUGUCUUAAUUUCUUCUUCAUUCCUAGAGGAUGACUUCACAAUGUAUAGAAUUCACACUUCACAGUUCUUUUUAAAAAAUGGUGUGCCACUUCCUCUGGCCUCCAUGGUGUUUGUAGAGAAAUCAGCUGUCAUUUGGAUUGCUGUUCCUUCUAGAUAAUGCAUUGUUUCUCUUUGGUUGCUUUUUAGAUAUUUUUGUCUUUAGUUUUCAAAAGUUUAAUUAUUGUCUCAUUAAUGAAUUUCUUUGAGUUUAUCUAUGUGAGCUCUACUCCUUGACUCUGUAUGUUUAGGUGCUUUGCCAAAUUUAGGAAUUUUUCAGCCAUUAUUUGUUCAAAGUGAAGAAGCCUACAUUCUUUUCAGGCCAACAUUCUUUCCUAUCUAUUUUUGAAAUGCUAAUGAUAUUAAUUUAGAUUUUUAUUAUUAUUCGAAGGUCCGUUAGGUUUUCUUUUUUCAGUCUAUUUUCUCUAUUAUUCAGACUCAGUAAAUUUUGUUACUUUUUAAAAAUCAAAUCCAGUGAUUCUCUCUUUUGUCAUCUCCACUCUGCUAUGAGUCCAUCUUGUUAGUUUAAAAAAAAAAUGAGUUCUUGCGGCUGGGGUUGUGGCUCAGUGGUAGAGCACUUGUCUAGCAUGUGUGAGGCACCAGGUUUGAUCCUGAACACCACAUAUAAAUAAAUAAAUAAAUAAAAGUAUAAAAAAUACAAUAACUUUUUUUUAAAUUCAGUUCUUAUAUUUUUCAAAUCUAUAAUUUUCAUUUGGUCCUUUUUUGGUAUAACUUUGUUUUUCUUUGCUGUGUUCUUUUUAUUUCAAAGAAAUUCAUGAUUCUUCAUUGAAGCAAGUUUAUAGUGGCUGCUUUGAAAUCUAUGUCAGAUGCUUUAAAAUCUGAUUCAUCUGGUUAUUGACAUCAGUUGACUACCUUUCUGGUUUAUACUAUGAUUUUUUUUUGUUCUUAUAUAAUGAGUAUUUUUAAUUCUAUCUUGAACUUUUUAAUAUUAUUUAGGUGACUCAUUAUUUAAAUCUUUUAUCUUAGGAGGCAUUUCCCUGUUUACAUUUAGUUUGUGGGUUUUAUACUACAUUUUGGGGUUAUAGUUUCAGUAACUUAAGUUUUCUGAAACUGUGUGAUAAUAAUCUGGUCUGCUUUAUUCAUCUGGUUCUGUUUGAGCUUUUGUGAGAUUCUAGCUGGUGCCACUUGCAGGUACUUCCAUGGAUCUCUCAAUGUUGUUAGAUGAGGAGUGAGGGUACCAGAUAUACAAGAAGUAGAGAAUUUCAUGUUCAAUCUCACCUGUUGAUGUUUGGCUUUCCACUCUAUUUCCACAGAUGCCUCUGGAAAGUAAAGAGCCUACCUGAGUGCCUUAUGCCACAGAGUGGAGAACCAGGAUCCAUAAGGAAUGGGUGACUGGCUUUAGAUCUAGAUUCUGAAAACUCAAGCCCUGUGUCAACUUCUACAUCUGGGUCAAUGGAUAACAAAUAUGGAACUUGCUAUUUCUACUGACACUUGCAUAAAGACCCACCUAUUACUGGCUGAUCUGGGGUGUGGGUGGACUAUUUAACUCAGGACCUACCUACUCUUACCUACUGCUGUUUUUGAUUGUGGGUCAAGGGAUGGAUUUCCUUCCUGAGUUCUUCUGAUACCAAGAUUGGUAGAUCGUCCUACCACUGCCACUGGGUGUUGGUGUCCCUGCUAAGUCCCUGCUGGCUUUCCUUGUUCCUGGUAAAUAAUGAAAGAUAAAAAAGAAAUCCUAUGGAAGUCACUGUUCAUCAUGGUGUUGCUCUUAAACUCUUGAGAUCUGUAGUGAGUUUUCUUCUAUCCAACAUUCAGACUUUUUACCAUUUUCUGUUGAAUUAUUUCCAAGGUAUUUCAUUAUAUUUAAAGUGAAAGAACAGGGAAAAUUGAUUCUAUUCUAUUUUGUCUCUCAAUUGGAAGCCAUUAUUUUAAAUUCAAAUUAUUGCUCAGAAUAGGAGUAUUUUCUGGGUGAUAGAUAUAUGAGUAUUCAUUUUAUGUUAUUCUCUACAGUCCUAUAGGUUCGAUACACCAAAAAUGUCUAAUGUAAGGUUAUGCCACAUAUAAGAUACUCUCCCAUUACAAGUGCAAUCUCUCCUACUUUGGUUUAUUCUAUUUUAUAUCUAUUCUAUUAUAUUUUGGUCAACAAAAUAUGUGCACGGUCAAGACUCAUUAGCCAGAAACGAUUUCAAUCAAUGAUAGUUUGGGAUGAUCAUCUGAGAGAAUGAAUUAAAAACAAGGCAAAGAAAUCUAAUGCAAAUUUAGUCAUUAUGCCUGGGGAGGUGGCCUCACAGUUGCAAGAGUUAGAUGUCCAUAUAAGCUUGUCUUUUAAAGGUCACUUUAAAAAGCAAUGCAAUAAAUGAUUCUUAUGAUAUUUUAAAAAUUGUUUUAAUAUGAGAAUGGAAACUUGAAACUUCAGAUAUUUCUACUGACAUUAUCCUACAUAGAUUAAGGUGUUCUAUAUCUCAACUUUGAGGGAAAUGAAGAUGAUGUGACUUGGAGAACUGCAGUAGAUGACUCAAGCAUGUAUCUAUGAAACAUGUCCCUAAGAAGGUCACUGAUGUCAAACAUUAAUGAUUAGUUUAAGGACAAUUGUUUCAUAAGAAAAAUAAUAAUAUUUCCAAAUCAAUAUUUUGAUUUAUGUAAAACAUGGUUUUAAGUAUAUAUAUGUAACUUUAUUAGAAAAUUAAAUAUUAUAUAGACCUUUUAGUAUUCUAUGUCUUUGAAAGCUUAUAUAUUUGAGGUGACCAAAAAAUCUUUUUAAAAGAUCUUCUAAUCUAGAAAUUUGGAGGUUAUAUUUGCUAUAUAUUUAUAUGUAAUUAUUUUGAUAUUUCAAAUACCAAAAAAUUACAGCUGUGAAUCUAUCACCUGUGUUAUAGUUUGAAUCUAAAAUGUACCCGAAAGGCUCAUGUGUUGAAGGCCUGGAUCCCAGUGCAGCAACAUUCAAAAGUGGGACUCUUGGGGAAAAAAAAGUUGGAUCAUGACGGCUCUAAUCUCAUCAAUGGGUCAAUUCACUAAUGAGUUCAUAAUUGAAUGGACUACUGGGAGAAGACAGAAACUGUAGGAGGUGCAGUCUAGAUGGAGGAAGAGGUCUCUAAGAGAAUGUCCUGAAAUGGUAUAUCUUUUUUUUUAUUUUUUUUUAUUUUUUAUUGGUUGUUCAAAACAUUACAAAGCUCAUGGCAUAUCAUCUUUCAUACAUUUGACUCAAUUGGGUUAUGAACUCCCAUUUUUACCCCAAAUACAAAUUGCAGAAUCACAUCGGUUACACAUUCACAUUUUUACAUACUGCCAUACUAGUGACUGUUGUAUUCUGCUACCUUUCCUAUCCUCUACUAUCCCCCCUCCCCUCCCCUCCCAUCUUCCCUCUCUACCUCAUCUGCUGUUGUUCAAUUCUUUCCCUUGUUCCCCCCCCUUUCCCCUCACAAAGACUUCUUUGUACACAGCUUUCAUGCUUUUCUAUCCUUCCUUCCCCUGGAUAUUCACCAUUUUCAUGUAUGUCUAAUGAGAUCAACACAUAGUUAUAUAUUUGAAAAGAAAACAUGUGUCUGUUUUGAGUUUCAAAAUAUUAUGUAAAUUUUAAUAUCCUGCAUAUAUCAUUCUGCAUUACUGAUAUGUGUUUUCUGCUUCCUGUGCUUUUGUUCUUUCCAGGCUUCUGAUGGAUUAAAAAUAUUUCCUUUCCUCUACUGCUAUUUUAAAGCUAUAUAUAAUAUUUCUACAUUGUUU
This 13038-nucleotide long non-coding RNA is filed under the name Marmota monax (woodchuck). Lineage: Eukaryota; Metazoa; Chordata; Mammalia; Rodentia; Sciuridae. The record is from RNAcentral.